UACGGAGGGUGCAAGCGUUAUCCGGAAUCACUGGGCGUAAAGGGCGCGUAGGUGGUCUGUUAAGUCUGGCGUUAAAGCCUGGGGCUCAACCCCAGAUCAGCGUUGGAUACUGGCAGGCUAGACGGUUGGAGAGGCGAGUGGAAUUACCAGUGUAGCGGUGGAAUGCGUAGAUACUGGUAGGAACACCCAUUGCGAAGGCAGCUCGCUGGACAACACGUGACACUGAGGCGCGAAAGUGUGGGGAGCAAACAGGAUUAGAUACCCCGGUA
This 269-nucleotide ribosomal RNA is filed under the name uncultured prokaryote. RNAcentral's name for it is "partial 16S ribosomal RNA". It matches the Rfam family "Bacterial small subunit ribosomal RNA", at positions 524 to 792 of the family's 1533-position model. The record is from RNAcentral.